CCCCCCCCCCACAUUUUUAUGCAUAUUGAACACAUGAAAUUGCAAGCAAUUAGCGAUGUUCAUCUAAUGGGAAAGCUUCAGAAAAUGGAGCAUUUAUUGCUUUCAAGGGGGUUUACUUCCAUUUCAGUAUUUGGCUUUUACAUACUCAUAGUAGAAAAUUGACAAUCCGACUGUUUUCCCUCAAAAACACUUAAGUUUCUCUGGAUUGAUUCUCUGAACUGUUUAUUGUGGCGAGUCCCACCCAUGGAUCCAUUAUCCACUACAUUUGGAAUCCUGUUCAACCAAUGAUGCAAUAUUCUAUAUGGACAAUGCUUGUGUUUGCCCUGUAUGUCUUCAUCCAUUUAGAACCUGAUGAAGACUUGGUGGUGUCGAAAUGGUUUGUUCUCUUAAAGCCUGCAAAUGAAUCACUGUGCUCCAGGAGUCAGCCAAGCGUUUUAAGAAAAAGAAAAGCAAACAGUACAAUUAUUACCCAACCUGCUUCCUGUGAAAAUCCAUCGGAGAUUGCAGACGGACUUCAACUUCGACACAACAUACUUCUCCAUGAAAAUCCUUUAACAACACUUCUAUGCACACACAAUAUAAUAAUAUCCAUGUUGGAUGUGGUAAAGAGAUGUUGGUGUAAAGAUCACGUGACAGAAACCAAAGAAAUACUGGUGAAUAAAUAAUUAAAGGUCAAUAAAUACUUUCUGGCAUGACAGGAUGCAAUGUUUAGUGCAAGUAACAAAGCCUGGAUAUAAAACAAAUGUACUUUCCAUGCCUAAAAUCCCAACAGUGGUCGGAUGUUAGAAGACAUUUAUUAUAGCUAAUUUACCACUUUACCAGUUUUUUGUGGAGGCUUCCCAUAAAAUCCGAUGCAAAAAUGCAUCUUGGAUUUUUGUUGUUCUCUCUCACAGUUGGAUGUCGGUGUGGACAUACACGGACAUUUGGGCCUCCUGUUUACAGCCACGCAGGCCAUCGGCGAGACAGGAAAGAGGGAAUGGGGUCUCUGAGGCGGUUCUAAAGAAGGCAAGUGCACGGAAACACACACAGUCGCACACACACACACACACACACACACACACACACACACACACACACACACUCACUCGCAGACCCAGGGAGGAGGAACGUGAGAAAAGAACCAGAGGGAGAUUAACACACUAAUCCAAUAUCCGAUGCUCCUGGACAGAGGAGCGGCUGCUGAAUGAUUCUCCCUCUAUCUCGCUCUCUCUCUCUAACACACACACACACACACACACACACACACACACACACACACACACACACACACACACACACACACACACCUAUACACAUGCAUGCAAGAUACUGUAGAGGAGGGGGUGGUCUGAAGGAUCCGUCUCGUAAGCAUUUCAGUUAAACAAACCACAUCCUUAGCAAACACACACAAAGCCAUAGGAACAGUCGUCCAGGCCACAGAGCCUCACAGGCCAGACCGCUUCUCACACUGCUGCCACAGAAUGCACACGGCCUGCUGCGAAUAUACAUUCAGCUGCAUUUGUACAUCUGCGCAUGGACGUGUGUGUGUGUGUGUGUGAUUAUGUGGUUCCUGUAGAUCCUAGCGAUUGCCAUUCUUGGAAACUAUUAACUAAAAUACUUUUCACAACGGCUGGCAGGAAGUGAAUGCAGAGAGUUUGUAAUUCACUCCGGCUUUCUGUGUUUUCAGGGGUUCUGCCCACUGGGGCUUUUUAGGAGGAAAGUAUAUAAGUUCUGUUUCAGGGAUCUAUACGCCUCGUGCUGGACGGUCAUCCCGUACGAGUGGCUUCGGCUGAGGGAUCAGUGACCUUCGAGAAGAGACGGGAACGCAUGACGGGAACUUCACAGGAAGAGAAAAAGGUCAGCCAACAGGGAACAAGUGAGGGCCAUCAGAGCUAAAGGGAAACAUUGAACCGUGGUGAGACAUGCCAACAUACCCCACCCUCAAGUCCUAAACACGCACGCACACACACAUCUGAGAAAACAUGACUCGACUUCUUUCCUCUUCAACUAUAGGGUGACUUGUUUCUGGUGGGUUGCCGUGGUGAUUUUCCUUGUUGCUCAUGAUAUUGACUAAACAUAUGUGUGUUAACAGGAAGGACAAAGGGCACAGCGAUGUUAAAGAUGAAGAUGUGACCGUGGGAAAUUUACCAGAAGAACGCCUCCUCUCGUCUCGUCUCUACAGCCGGGGGGCGAAUUGGCAGAUUCUGUGAAGUAGCAGAUGUGUGUAACAUCAUUAUUUCAAUCACUGGCAUGACCACUGUUGGAUUUGUAAUACAAAGCCGCCGCAACUUCUAUCGAAUCAUCUCCGGCCUUCACAACUAAAGUCUACAAGUCCCCCAGGGUGUGUGAAAAGUGAGGCCCUACUGGUGUUGUGCCUGCGUUUACGCAUCAGUGGUUCAUUUAGGCACGACGAGGCAGCGUGUGUGUGCAUGUGCCACUAAUGCUGCCGUGAUGUCCGGGUUGGUUUCUUCUGGGUCUCGCCUCAGUGACAGUUACGGCCGUUGGGUCUCUGGAAGUCACCUCACGUUCUUUAAAGGUGAGCGCACAGAGAUUCCUGGUCGUGCGGGCGGCCAAUGUGACUGGAGAAUGCACGCAGAGAAAACUGUAAUUGUUGGUGGUGCCAACUUAGUUCGACAGGCAUUUUAACCCACGAUACCUCAGUACAGCCAAGAAAUGUGUCACAAUGUCUGAUGCCCUCCCACAUGAGAUACCAAGAUAGCACAUUAGAUAUGACCAUGGGUUUGACUCCUUCUUGCUCUGCUAUCUCACUACGCUGACCUUGGAAAGAGGAUUGUGCAGCAGGGGUGCAAACCGCCUUUCCGUAUCUGCUAUAUUGGACAUCACGAUUGUUUUCUAGUUUAAUUCUUUGUCGUGCACGCUGUACGACCGUUGAACCUUCUCUGCCAAGAAUAAAGCUUCAAAAGAUCUGUUCUGUGAUAAGGACGUGUGUCUUAUCUGAGCAUUGUAGCCACUCACACUGGCCGGAUCGGCGAUAUAUUUCUCACCGCAGUGGGUGCACUCACGGAGCGCACUGCAAACACACGGGCCGAGGGACAAACAAACAAACACACACACAAAACACAAUGGCUCGGACUUCCUGUGAUGUCACACAUGUUAUGUAAGUCUCGCUCUCCGCUUGUCUCUCGCUCUUCCCAUCUGGAUUUCUGGAUUUGGGGAAGAUUAACAAGCAAUUUGCAAAAGGCAUUUGCGGUUUGGGAAAAACGAAAGCCGGCACCUUUAUCUUUUUUGGGACAUGAAUGAUUAGUUGGACUAACCAACAUCAAAUCUAAAAGACUGCAUGUUUCUAUUCUUCCCCACACCAAUAAGAAAUAGGCUUUCAGAAUGAAUGGUGUUUCUUGAAUAGCAUCCUAAAUAAAACUGGCACCGUUUUAUACACAUUUACUUUUCUCUAUUUGCAUAAUCAGAUACUCACCAUAAAAUAAUAGUUUAAUACCAACUAAAGUGGAUUUCUGCUUAAUUGAAGUCCCUGAGAAGUUGUUUUGGGAGCCUGUGUGAAGAGACCCACGAGGCAGAGGUAGCCCCAUUAGAUCAUCUGUAUCCCGCCAUGAGUGGAUUAUAAAGGCGGCGUAAUUUGCACCCCCGUGAGAGUGCAACAGCUUUGGAAAAGAGCAAACAAAAACAUUGUUUUGUAAUACUUCUGUGCGUGUGCGCGCAUGCAUACGCACUUUCUUCCUCACCCAUGUGCGUCUGUCCUCCGACUGUGAGAGACUCCAGCCAGGAGAUAAAUGUACGAGAUGUUAUUGUGGCGCGGCUGGCCCUGCUCCAGAGGAAGUGCUCGGCUUUGACAAUGCUCUCACCAGGAAUGCACUGCAGGCCGCCGCCAAGGGGGGCGUGUCGCCGCUCCGGGGUCGGAAGCCAAGUUUGGUCGGUUCAGUUUUGGCCUCGGGGGGGGGAUCCGUCCUGCUAGGCUUUGGAAAGAGACAGAACGAGAAGGAAAGGAGAGAGAAGGAGGGGAGAGAAGGUCUAGGUUUGUGUAUUUGAAUGAGUGUGUGUGUGUUUUCCCUUUGAGGGGAGAAUCUGAAUGGAAUGCAACUGUUCCUUUACACAUGUCCGACC
This is a long non-coding RNA of Gasterosteus aculeatus aculeatus (three-spined stickleback), 4056 nucleotides long. The record is from Ensembl. Lineage: Eukaryota; Metazoa; Chordata; Actinopteri; Perciformes; Gasterosteidae.